RNAcentral lists this ribosomal RNA (643 nucleotides) under uncultured Actinomycetes bacterium. Its description in RNAcentral is "bacterial SSU rRNA". It matches the Rfam family "Bacterial small subunit ribosomal RNA", at positions 232 to 886 of the family's 1533-position model. Lineage: Bacteria; Bacillati; Actinomycetota; Actinomycetes. The record is from RNAcentral.
CGCGGCCUAUCAGCUUGUUGGUGGGGUAAUGGCCUACCAAGGCGACGACGGGUAGCCGGCCUGAGAGGGUGAUCGGCCACACUGGGACUGAGACACGGCCCAGACUCCUACGGGAGGCAGCAGUGGGGAAUAUUGCACAAUGGGCGAAAGCCUGAUGCAGCGACGCCGCGUGGGGGAUGACGGUCUUCGGAUUGUAAACCCCUUUCAGUAGGGACGAAGCGAAAGUGACGGUACCUGCAGAAGAAGCACCGGCCAACUACGUGCCAGCAGCCGCGGUAAUACGUAGGGUGCAAGCGUUGUCCGGAAUUACUGGGCGUAAAGAGCUCGUAGGCGGUUUGUCACGUCGUCUGUGAAAUCCUCCAGCUCAACUGGGGGCGUGCAGGCGAUACGGGCAGACUUGAGUACUACAGGGGAGACUGGAAUUCCUGGUGUAGCGGUGAAAUGCGCAGAUAUCAGGAGGAACACCGGUGGCGAAGGCGGGUCUCUGGGUAGUAACUGACGCUGAGGAGCGAAAGCAUGGGGAGCAAACAGGAUUAGAUACCCUGGUAGUCCAUGCCGUAAACGGUGGGCGCUAGGUGUGGGGUCCUUCCACGGAUUCCGUGCCGUAGCUAACGCAUUAAGCGCCCCGCCUGGGGAGUACGGA